AUUGAACGCUGGCGGCAGGCUUAACACAUGCAAGUCGAGCGGGGGAAGGUAGCUUGCUACCGGACCUAGCGGCGGACGGGUGAGUAAUGCUUAGGAAUCUGCCUAUUAGUGGGGGACAACAUCUCGAAAGGGAUGCUAAUACCGCAUACGUCCUACGGGAGAAAGCAGGGGAUCUUCGGACCUUGCGAUAAUAGAUGAGCCUAAGUCGGAUUAGCUAGUUGGUGGGGUAAAGGCCUACCAAGGCGACGAUCUGUAACGGGUCUGAGAGGAGGAUCCGCCACACUGGGACUGGGACACGGCCCAGACUCCUACGGGAGGCAGCAGUGGGGAAUAUUGGACAAUGGGGGGAACCCUAAUCCAGCCAUGCCGCGUGUGUGAAGAAGGCCUUAUGGUUGUAAAGCACUUUAAGCGAGGAGGAGGCUACUCUAGUUAAUACCUAGGGAUAGUGGACGUUACUCGCAGAAUAAGCACCGGCUAACUCUGUGCCAGCCGCCGCAGUAA
This 501-nucleotide ribosomal RNA is filed under the name uncultured bacterium. RNAcentral's name for it is "partial 16S ribosomal RNA". It matches the Rfam family "Bacterial small subunit ribosomal RNA", at positions 30 to 523 of the family's 1533-position model. The record is from RNAcentral.